AGUGAACGCUGGCGGUAGGCCUAACACAUGCAAGUCGAACGGCAGCACAGUAAGAGCUUGCUCUUACGGGUGGCGAGUGGCGGACGGGUGAGGAAUACAUCGGAAUCUACUUUUUCGUGGGGGAUAACGUAGGGAAACUUACGCUAAUACCGCAUACGACCUACGGGCGAAAGCAGGGGAUCUUCGGACCUUGCGCGAUUGAAUGAGCCGAUGUCGGAUUAGCUAGUUGGCGGGGUAAAGGCCCACCAAGGCGACGAUCCGUAGCUGGUCUGAGAGGAUGAUCAGCCACACUGGAACUGAGACACGGUCCAGACUCCUACGGGAGGCAGCAGUGGGGAAUAUUGGGCAAUGGGCGCAAGCCUGAUCCAGCCAUACCGCGUGAGUGAAGAAGGCCUUCGGGUUGUAAAGCCCUUUUGUUGGGAAAGAAAAGCAGCAGGUUAAUACCCCGCUGUUCUGACGGUACCCAAAGAAUAAGCACCGGCUAACUUCGUG
This 492-nucleotide ribosomal RNA is filed under the name uncultured bacterium. Its description in RNAcentral is "partial 16S ribosomal RNA". It matches the Rfam family "Bacterial small subunit ribosomal RNA", at positions 29 to 507 of the family's 1533-position model. The record is from RNAcentral.